UAACAGCUUUUGACACAUGUUAGAAGCUUGAAAGAUGCAAUUGCACUCACUACGAGGAUGGACCUGCGUUGUAUUAGCUAGUAGGUAGGGUAACGGCCUACCUAGGCGACGAUACAUAGCCGACCUGAGAGGGUGAUCGGCCACACUGGGACUGAGACACGGCCCAGACUCCUACGGGAGGCAGCAGUAGGGAAUCUUCGGCAAUGGGGGCAACCCUGACCGAGCAACGCCGCGUGAGUGAAGAAGGUUUUCGGAUCGUAAAGCUCUGUUGUAAGAGAAGAACGUGUGUGAGAGUGGAAAGUUCACACAGUGACGGUAACUUACCAGAAAGGGACGGCUAACUACGUG
RNAcentral lists this ribosomal RNA (348 nucleotides) under uncultured bacterium. RNAcentral's name for it is "bacterial SSU rRNA". It matches the Rfam family "Bacterial small subunit ribosomal RNA", at positions 173 to 507 of the family's 1533-position model. The record is from RNAcentral.